AAGGAGAAGGCACAGGAAGCUGAGUUGGACAUCAUAAGUGAUGAGAAUAUCCUGCAAAAUGGCAUCCUCUAUCGUCAACAAGAGUCAGCGUUGCAGCUAGUGGUUCCCCAAGCAGCUAGAAACGCCAUACUUGCCUUGGGGCACUCAGUUCCCUGGGCUGGCCACCUGGGCCCACAAAACCACAGUUCGCAUUAAAAACCAUUUCCACUGGCCUGGCCUGCGCAGACAUGUUGCUCAGGUGUACCAGUUACUGGGUAUCAGGAGCCUCAGGACUACACCAUAUGUUCCUCAAACGGAUGAGCUAACAGAGCGCUUUAACCAGACCCUGAAACAGAUGUUCAGGAAGUUGGUAAACAACAGUGGUACAGACUGGGAUCAAUGGCUGCCAUACCUCCUUUUUUGCAGGGAAGUACCCCAAUCCUCCACUGGUUUCUUUCCUUUUGAACUUUUGUAUAGACAUGAAGUUUGGGGGUCGUUGGCACUGUUGAGAGAGAUCUGGGAGGGGGCAAGGGGAGGGUGGGAUCUGUUAACGUUGUAUCCUAUGUCAUCCAGAUGAGAGAGCGGCUGGAGAAAAUGGGUGAGCUGGCCCAAUCGCACGUGGCGGACGCCCAGCAGCAACAAAAGUCCUGGUACGACAAGCCAGCCAGGCAGAGAUUCUUCGACCCUGGACAGAAAGUGCUGGUGCUAACAAACUGUUGGCUAAAUGGCAAGGACCGUUCAAAAUCCUCAAGAAACUUGGGCCAACCAGGUACCAGGUAUCGACACCAAGGCACUCACGCUCCAGUAGGGUACUUCACAUAAAUCUCUUAAAAGAGUGGGUGCAGCGACCUGAAAGAAAAACAGAAGUGAUGCUAAUAAGUGUGCUGGAUGAAGAAGAAGUGGAUGAGCAAUACUUACCUCUCUAGUGACCUGGUAGACCAUGAUCUCAGUAACCAAUCAGGCGGCCAACGGAUUCAGGUGAGAUCUAUCUGUAAUUCAGAUGUUUUCCAGGAGAAUCCUGGGAGAACAAAUAUUGUUGAACAUGACAUUGUUGUUAGAGAAGGUGCUUCUGUGAGAAGAUUAAGUUACAGGAUCCCUGAGCGCCUGCUGGCCUCACUGAGGAGGGAGGUUAACCUGAUGCCUUCCCUGGGGAUCAUCAAGGCUUCAAAGAGCUAGUGGUGUAACCCAAUGGUGCUUGUACCAAAGAAGGAUGGAAGCAUAAGGUUCUGCAUUGAUUUCAGGUACCUGAAUUUAAUUUCUCUCUUUGAUUCCUAUCCAACACCAAUAAUGUAUGAACUGCUUGAAAGGCAUAAUACUUGACCACAAUAGAUCUCUGCAAGGGUUAUUGGCAGAUUCCUCUCACCGUUCGGUCACAGGAGCUGACAGCCUUCAGGACACCAUGGGGCCCUUUCCAUUUCACAGUAAUACCAUUUGAGUUUCACAGCGCUCCAGAAACUUUCCAGAGACUCAUGGACCAGGUAAUUUGUUAUUUCUCUGGUUGUGCUGCAGCAUAUCUAGAUGACAUUGUCAUUUACAGUAACACGUGGGAGGAACACCUGCAAGCUGUCUUGGGUCGCCUUCAUUCUGCCGGGCUGACUGUCAUCCUAUCGAAGUACCUUGGCCACGUCAUCUUCAAUGGGGUUGUACACCCUCAGGUCAACAAAACCCAGGCCAUAGAGUCCUGUCCCCUGCCACAAACAAGGAAGCAGCUCCGAUCUUUUUUGGGCUCUCAGGCUUCUAUCACCGCUUCAUACCAAUUUCUCCAACAGGGCAGCUCUUCUCACAGCCUUGACUAGAUCCCGGAGUCCCAAUCAGAUCUAGUGGACAGAGGAGGCAGUGGCAGCUUUCAGUGAUAUCCAGCAAUCACUAAGUAAGCAACCUCCUCUGUACAGCCCAAACUUUGACAAACAUUUUCUUCUGCAAACUGAUGCUUCUGACAGGGCUUUGGGAGCUGUGUUACUCCAAGGACUUCAGGAUGAUCGGCAUCCAGUCGCCUACAUCAGCCGGAAACUGUUCCCCAGAGAGGUUCGAUAUUUGACGGUGGAGAAGGAGGCACUGGCUAUCAAGUGGGCCCUUGAUUCCUUCCGGUACUACCUUCUUGCUCAAGAGUUCACCUUGGAGACGGAUCACAAGGCCCAUUUGGUUUGUAAACUUGGUUUUCUAUUUUUGGGUAAAAUAAAAACCUACCUUUUCUUUAAACUUA
This is a long non-coding RNA of Labrus mixtus (cuckoo wrasse), 2182 nucleotides long. RefSeq lists it as uncharacterized. NCBI's taxonomy places the organism in Eukaryota, Metazoa, Chordata, Actinopteri, Labriformes, Labridae. The transcript is spliced from 2 exons. The record is from RefSeq and is a predicted model, not a curated record.